GCAAUGCCGCGUGUGUGAAGAAGGCCUCUCGGGUUGUAAAGCACUUUUGUCUGGAAAGAAAUCCUUGGCUCUAAUACAGUCGGGGGAUGACGGUACCGGAAGAAUAAGCACCGGCUAACUACGUGCCAGCAGCCGCGGUAAUACGUAGGGUGCGAGCGUUAAUCGGAAUUACUGGGCGUAAAGCGUGCGCAGGCGGUUUGCUAAGACCGAUGUGAAAUCCCCGGGCUCAACCUGGGAACUGCAUUGGUGACUGGCAGGCUAGAGUAUGGCAGAGGGGGGUAGAAUUCCACGUGUAGCAGUGAAAUGCGUAGAGAUGUGGAGGAAUACCGAUGGCGAAGGCAGCCCCCUGGGCCAAUACUGACGCUCAUGCACGAAAGCGUGGGGAGCAAACAGGAUUAGAUACCCUGGUAGUCCACGCCCUAAACGAUGUCAACUAGUUGUUGGGGAUUCAUUUCCUUAGUAACGUAGCUAACGCGUGAAGUUGACCGCCUGGGGAGUACGGUCGCAAGAUUAAAACUCAAAGGAAUUGACGGGGACCCGCACAAGCGGUGGAUGAUGUGGAUUAAUUCGAUGCAACGCGAAAAACCUUACCUACCCUUGACAUGGUCGGAAUCCUGCUGAGA
Molecule: ribosomal RNA, 623 nt
Filed under: Burkholderia sp. IBa204
Lineage: Bacteria; Pseudomonadati; Pseudomonadota; Betaproteobacteria; Burkholderiales; Burkholderiaceae
Description: bacterial SSU rRNA
Rfam family: Bacterial small subunit ribosomal RNA
Source: RNAcentral